AUACGGAGGGUGCGAGCGUUAAUCGGCAUUACUGGGCGUAAAGCGUACGUAGGCGGUUGGUUAAGUUAGAUGUGAAAGCCCCGGGCUUAACCUGGGAACUGCAUUUAAAACUGGCGAACUAGAGUUGAGUAGAGGGGAGUGGAAUUUCAGGUGUAGCGGUGAAAUGCGUAGAGAUCUGAAGGAACACCAGUGGCGAAGGCGACUCCCUGGACUCGAACUGACGCUGAGGUACGAAAGCGUGGGUAGCAAACGGGAUUAGAAACCCCAGUAGUCC
RNAcentral lists this ribosomal RNA (274 nucleotides) under uncultured bacterium. RNAcentral's name for it is "partial 16S ribosomal RNA". It matches the Rfam family "Bacterial small subunit ribosomal RNA", at positions 523 to 796 of the family's 1533-position model. The record is from RNAcentral.